CUUCAGCCUUGUAUUUUUAGUUGGCCUAUUCCUGUUCAAGGACGUCCCACCCCCACCACCUUGGAGUAGUUGUUCUUCUUAGCCUCAGGAGAUUGGAACUUCCAUGGUUUCUCUUCCCUUGAAGAAACACAUGGAGCAGACAUUAAGUUUGAAGGACCAUUUUGAAUUAUUCAGUAACAACCUAAGCCUCUAUACAGGAAUCCAAGCCACAGAGAUCAGACUCUGGAGCCAGACUCUGCAAACCCUCUUCUCAAAGGAUUCUGAUGAGAGAUCCACUUACUGGACUUCAAGCCAUGUACCAGCAAGCACAUGGCCUUGAAAAGCAACUCCCUGUAAGAGAUGUGAUGUCUACAGAUAUUCGGUAUGGUUUUGACCUAAGAUGUACGUACGGCUGUAUUACAUUUUGCACAAGAAAAUGGAAAUGAUCAAUUUAAGUUCCAAAAAAUUAAAUUUUCUCUACCACUGUAAAAAUAAAAUUAUACACAGCAAAAUA
This is a long non-coding RNA of Talpa occidentalis (Iberian mole), 493 nucleotides long. RefSeq lists it as uncharacterized. Lineage: Eukaryota; Metazoa; Chordata; Mammalia; Eulipotyphla; Talpidae. The transcript is spliced from 3 exons. The record is from RefSeq and is a predicted model, not a curated record.